UCUCCCAAGUUUUGUUUGGCUCAAGCCUCUUGUGUGUACAUAUUGUACAUCAUGCUGUAAUUAUUUCAUGCUAAUAUUUAAUUGGCCCUUACUGUACUUGGUUUUACCUGCAUCAGCAUCCUUGAAGCCUAGUAACACCUACCUCGCUUUUUUUUCUUGCAUACCUGAUGGAGUGUGUGCUACAACUGAAACCAUGGCACAGGAUUCUCAGUGUCAAGCUCACUGUGCUGCAACUGAAGCAGCGCUGUCUUUACCGGAUUAGGAUGGAUGGAUGAGCCUAUGACAUAUGCUUGUUCUUGGACAGGUUGUGUUAGCCAGGUGCUGGGAUGCAAUGUUGGACGGUGAUGUGCUCACAGGGAACAGGUUGCUGUGCAGUUGGUGGAGCGGAGAGUUCCUGAUGAUGCAACAUUAAGAAGGUGACCUGGAGGUUAGGUUAUGACAGCCGAGUUCGGCCGUCUAGAAUGGCAUGCUUUGGUUCUUAUGAUUUGACUCGAUGGAUGUUGUGUGAUGUAAUAGUCUUGCCGGUUUGUUUUCAUUAUCCUUUGGAUUCAGCUGCAGCCUCGUCAUUCUUGUAUGUGUUUUUUGGAAAAAUACUGGAAUAGACUUCAUGUAUUCA
Long non-coding RNA from Lolium perenne, 616 nucleotides. RefSeq lists it as uncharacterized. The record is from RefSeq and is a predicted model, not a curated record. Lineage: Eukaryota; Viridiplantae; Streptophyta; Magnoliopsida; Poales; Poaceae.